CAGCCGCCGCGGUAAUACGUAGGGGGCAAGCGUUAUCCGGAAUUACUGGGUGUAAAGGGAGCGUAGACGGUUAAACAAGUCUGAAGUGAAAUGCCGGGGCUCGACCCCGGAGCUGCUUUGGGAACUGUAGAACUGGAGUGUCGGAGGGGUAAGCGGAAUUCCCAGUGUAGCGGUGAAAUGCGUAGAUAUUGGGAGGAACACCGGCGGCGAAGGCGGCUUACUGGACGACAACUGACGUUGAGGCUCGAAGGCGUGGGUAGCAAACAGGAUUAGAUACCCGCGUAGUCCCUGUCUCUUAUAU
RNAcentral lists this ribosomal RNA (301 nucleotides) under uncultured bacterium. Its description in RNAcentral is "partial 16S ribosomal RNA". It matches the Rfam family "Bacterial small subunit ribosomal RNA", at positions 509 to 809 of the family's 1533-position model. The record is from RNAcentral.